Cavia porcellus (domestic guinea pig) is the source of this 744-nucleotide long non-coding RNA. RefSeq lists it as uncharacterized. The transcript is spliced from 2 exons. The record is from RefSeq and is a predicted model, not a curated record. Lineage: Eukaryota; Metazoa; Chordata; Mammalia; Rodentia; Caviidae.
UUCCCGCAGGCCCCGCCCCAUACAGGCCCCGCCCCAUACAGGCCCCGCCCACCCGCCCCAGGCUCCGCCCCGCCCCCAGGGCUUUACUGCAGGCCCCGCCCCACCGCCAGGCCCCGCCCCCGCGGUGGCCUCUUGCGGUUCCACUGGGGAUCCUGGGUCAGUGGCCCAACACCUUUCAAACUCCAGUCUACACCGGUGGCGGCUACUGGAGAAGCUGAUCUGCGAUGCGGGAGGCAGGAGGAGCACCGGAGCCCAGCAAGGAGCCACAUCCAGGAGAUGGGAGGUGUCAACAUGAGCUCACAUGGCCAGCUGUGAGGGACAGAGAUGUCCCCAGGAGUCCCCUCUUCAUCAGCCGAGGAAAACCCCUCUGUGAAAUAAACACCAAAAGCAGCAUGGGCUCCAGGAUUGGAUCCUGGGACAGAAAAAGAACGCAGCGGCGAAACUGGGGACUCUAAAUAAAGUCUGGCGUCUAGCGAGGGACCGCACUGAUUUCCAGCUCUUCUCCAAGGUCCGCAGGAUGCUGACGCGGGAAAUCCGAUGGAGGGCAGCGAGGAAAUCGUGGGCCGCCGGUGCAGUCUGUAAAUCUAAAAUUACUGCCAAGCAAAGAGUUUAUUUUUGUAAAUAACCCAGAUGGGAACAUUUGAUUUCAUGGUUUGGAUUUUAAUUACGUACAUGAGGGGCUUUGUUGUGUCCCCACCUGCUAUAUCUUAAAACGUUAAAAAUUUCCCAGUGUAUAUAGUGAAA